GAACGCACAUUGCGCCCGCCAGCAUCCUGGCGGGCAUGCCUGUUCGAGCGUCAUUUCAACCCUCAAGCCCCCGCGGCUUGGUGUUGGGGACCUGCGCACCGCAGCCCCCUAAAGACAGCGGCGGGCGUGGCCUGGCACCGAACGUAGUAGACUCUCUCUCGUUCGCGGUCCAGUUCGCGCUCCGGCCGGUAAACCCCCAUCUUUUAACAAUGGUUGACCUCGGAUCAGGUAGGAAUACCCGCUGAACUUAAG
This 252-nucleotide unclassified non-coding RNA is filed under the name Dinemasporium japonicum. RNAcentral's name for it is "sequence contains 5.8S rRNA gene". The stretch from base 1 to 53 matches the Rfam family "5.8S ribosomal RNA", at positions 102 to 154 of the family's 154-position model. The record is from RNAcentral. Lineage: Eukaryota; Fungi; Ascomycota; Sordariomycetes; Chaetosphaeriales; Chaetosphaeriaceae.